GACGAACGCUGGCGGCGUGCCUAACACAUGCAAGUCGAACGGAGUUCCUGUAAUUGAAGCUUCGGCAGAUUUUACUUGAACUUAGUGGCGGACGGGUGAGUAACGCGUGAGGAACCUGCCUUCCAGAGGGGGACAACAGUUGGAAACGACUGCUAAUACCGCAUAAUGCAUUUUUAUCGCAUGAUUUAAAUGCCAAAGAUUUUAUCGCUGGAAGAUGGCCUCGCGUCUGAUUAGAUAGUUGGUGGGGUAACGGCCCACCAAGUCGACGAUCAGUAGCCGGACUGAGAGGUUGAACGGCCACAUUGGGACUGAGACACGGCCCAG
Molecule: ribosomal RNA, 324 nt
Filed under: uncultured bacterium
Lineage: Bacteria
Description: bacterial SSU rRNA
Rfam family: Bacterial small subunit ribosomal RNA
Source: RNAcentral